GACGAACGCUGGCGGCGUGCCUAAUACAUGCAAGUUGAGCGAUGAAGAUUGGUGCUUGCACCAAUUUGAAGAGCAGCGAACGGGUGAGUAACGCGUGGGGAAUCUGCCUUUGAGCGGGGGACAACAUUUGGAAACGAAUGCUAAUACCGCAUAACAACUUUAAACAUAAGUUUUAAGUUUGAAAGAUGCAAUUGCAUCACUCAAAGAUGAUCCCGCGUUGUAUUAGCUAGUUGGUGAGGUAAAGGCUCACCAAGGCGAUGAUACAUAGCCGACCUGAGAGGGUGAUCGGCCGCAUUGGGACUGAGACACGGCCCAGACUCCUACGGGAGGCAGCAGUAGGGAAUCUUCGGCAAUGGACGAAAGUCUGACCGAGCAACGCCGCGUGAGUGAAGAAGGUUUUCGGAUCGUAAAACUCUGUUGGUAGAGAAGAACGUUGGUGAGAGUGGAAAGCUCAUCAAGUGACGGUAACUACCCAGAAAGGGACGGCUAACUACGUG
This 497-nucleotide ribosomal RNA is filed under the name uncultured bacterium. Its description in RNAcentral is "partial 16S ribosomal RNA". It matches the Rfam family "Bacterial small subunit ribosomal RNA", at positions 28 to 507 of the family's 1533-position model. The record is from RNAcentral.